GACGAACGCUGGCGGCGUGCCUAAUACAUGCAAGUCGAACGAGAGCGCCCGGUGCUUGCGCUGUUCAAUCUAGUGGCGCACGGGUGAGUAACACGUGUGUAACCUGCCCAUCAGAGGGGUAUAACAUCCGGAAACGGAUGCUAAAACCGCAUAGGCCUUCGAUCCGCGUGGCUGGAAGAGGAAAAGAGGCGGAAGGUUCUGCUCUCGCGUGUACUCGCGGUGCAUUAGCUAGUUGGUGAGGUAACGGCUCACCAAGGCCGGGAUGCAUAGACGACGGGAGGGGGGGAUAGGCGACAUGGGGAGUGAGACAGGGACAAAAGGCCUGCGGGAGGGCGCAGACGGGAAUCGUCCGCAAUGGUGGGAAGUCUGACGGAGUAAGGGGGAGUGAGUGAAGAAGGUUUUCGGAUCGUAAUACUCUGUUGUUAGUGAAGAACAAGUGCUAGAGUAACUGUUAGCGGAUUGACGGUAACUAACAAGAAAGCAACGGCUAACUACGUG
This 498-nucleotide ribosomal RNA is filed under the name uncultured bacterium. Its description in RNAcentral is "partial 16S ribosomal RNA". It matches the Rfam family "Bacterial small subunit ribosomal RNA", at positions 28 to 507 of the family's 1533-position model. The record is from RNAcentral.